UACGUAGGGUGCAGGCGUUAUUCGGAAUUACUGGGCGUAAAGCGUGCGCAGGCGGUCUUUUAAGUCAGAUGUGAAAUCCCCGGGCUUAACCUGGGAACUGCGUUUGAAACUGGAAGGCUAGAGUGUGGCAGAGGGGGGUGGAAUUCCACGUGUAGCAGUGAAAUGCGUAGAUAUGUGGAGGAACACCGAUGGCGAAGGCAGCCCCCUGGGCUAACACUGACGCUGAGACGCGAAAGCGUGGGGAGCAAACAGG
Molecule: ribosomal RNA, 253 nt
Filed under: uncultured bacterium
Lineage: Bacteria
Description: partial 16S ribosomal RNA
Rfam family: Bacterial small subunit ribosomal RNA
Source: RNAcentral